UAUUUUUUUGCAAUAAUACUUCAUAAGAGAUGAUUUUUGCUCAAGCUCAUGCAACAUAGAUCGGAAUGACGGUCCAUCCUCAUAAUUCUCUGGGAAUAUAACGGUCUUGGUAUUAAUCAAUGAAAGCUCCGUCUUCGCUUCCGGAGAUUGAGGAGGUUGGGUUUGUACCGUCUGGCUAGUAGUUAGCGGCGACGUGACACGCUGGCUUUCCGAAAAAAAUGUAUCAUCCAUAGAAUCACCGCAACGAGAUACGGUGUAGUAGCUAAAUUUUGAGAUACGUUCAAGAGUACAGUCUUCAGUAGAGUAAACGGCUAUGCAAGAAUAGUUUUUGCAUUCAUACUCCAGAAGUUUACCCGAAGGAGGUGACCACUCCCAAUGAUAUCUGAUAUUGGCCGCAUUUGAAUCUGGUAAAAAAAUUUCAUGUACAUUAUCCGAAGAAAUUAAGUCUGCAUAUUUCAACUUCUGAGCAAAAAAAGAAUCAAACGAUUGAAGCGAUUCGCAAUGGAUGAGUACAAGUACUUUCCUCUCCUUCUGCAACUGGAGAACACGAUCACUGAAUAAAAAGUAGAAGUCUAGCUUGUUUUGAAAACUAAACUUAGGGAGGCACUCUUUUGAUGUAGAAUCCUAAUUUUUACAAAGUUAGUAAAAUCGUAUAUGGAAAUAAGAA
This is a non-coding RNA of Schizosaccharomyces pombe (fission yeast), 667 nucleotides long. The record is from the annotation of a GenBank genome assembly. Lineage: Eukaryota; Fungi; Ascomycota; Schizosaccharomycetes; Schizosaccharomycetales; Schizosaccharomycetaceae.